Molecule: ribosomal RNA, 498 nt
Filed under: uncultured bacterium
Lineage: Bacteria
Description: partial 16S ribosomal RNA
Rfam family: Bacterial small subunit ribosomal RNA
Source: RNAcentral
AUUGAACGCUGGCGGCAUGCCUUACACAUGCAAGUCGAACGGUAACAGGUCUUCGGAUGCUGACGAGUGGCGAACGGGUGAGUAAUACAUCGGAACGUGCCCAGUCGUGGGGGAUAACGCAGCGAAAGCUGUGCUAAUACCGCAUACGAUCUACGGACGAAAGCGGGGGAUCGCAAGACCUCGCGCGAUUGGGGCGGCCGAUGGCAGAUUAGGUAGUUGGUGAGGUAAAGGCUCACCAAGCCUGCGAUCUGUAGCUGGUCUGAGAGGACGACCAGCCACACUGGAACUGAGACACGGUCCAGACUCCUACGGGAGGCAGCAGUGGGGAAUUUUGGACAAUGGGCGCAAGCCUGAUCCAGCAAUGCCGCGUGCAGGAUGAAGGCCUUCGGGUUGUAAACUGCUUUUGUACGGAACGAAAAAGCUUCUUCUAAUACAGGAGGCUCAUGACGGUACCGUAAGAAUAAGCACCGGCUAACUACGUGCCAGCAGCCGCCGCUG